UGGGAGUGGGAGUGCUGGUAAACUGAAUGGAACGCAGGUUCGAAUCCCAGCGCUGCCUCUGACC
MicroRNA precursor from Cricetulus griseus (Chinese hamster), 64 nucleotides. The record is from Ensembl. Lineage: Eukaryota; Metazoa; Chordata; Mammalia; Rodentia; Cricetidae.